CGGUCGCAAAACUUUCUGUUCCCUAAAUUAGUUGUGAUACAACACAGUUCCACAUUUGUAUAAAAUAAACAACACUAAAUAAAAUAUGGAAUGGAGUAACAAAAGGGCUGACAAUUACACACCUAACUAGUGGACAGGAAAGAGGAGCUGAAAAUUAUGAAUCUGAAAAUAGAUUUGUCUAACCGCGACAUUAAUUUCAUACAAAAAAAUCAUGUCCCAUUUUAAUUUGACGCCAUUCUUAAUUCAUUGCUGAUGUCCAAUUAUUAUUUUCCAUUGCCUUCUUGCAUCUUGUGUUCUCUGUAACUCCAGUGAACAUUACAAAUGAAAAUCGAUUCGUCCUUUUGGAUUGUCAUGAUUUCUUUAAAUCAUCGUUUUAGCAAAGCAACUUUUCUUUCUGAAAUAUCUUCUUUUUCACACAUGGGGAAGAGAAGAUGUAACACGAAAAGUCUAAACAAUCUCACAAGUCGUAGCCAGUUUCUAACGUACAUGAAGGCUGGAGUCAUCCAGGGUGAGUGUAACGUUCAUGUCGGUCCAGGUUAGAAUUGUUGAAUUGUGUAGUCUUGACGGUGAGUUUGACAGAAAUCUGUAUUGGAAGACGAUGACUUAAAAAUCAAGGUAAUCCAUAAGUAUCGAAUCGGUUUUAAUUUGCAAUGCUCACUGGGAUUCCAGAGACCACAAGUAACUUAUAUGAAGUUGGUGGAAAAUACUGAAAAGGAAAAUUAGACACCAAUAAUAAAUUAAUGGUGUUAGAAGAAAAUUCAACGUGUAAACUUGAAAAGUCUCAUUUAAAAGUUUUACAUUGAUAACAACAAACAUUUAGAAGCUAGACUCACUGUGGCCAUAUUUCAACUGAACGAAAUGGUGUGAAGCUACACUUCAAUAUGAAAACACUGGUGCAAAAUUUGGACUUGGUUCAGACAAAUCUUGGAAUAACUCACGGUUGUAAAACUUGGCCUAAAGGUGUAUUUUCGUUGUCUUUUAGACAGAGAGAAUGUUGAAAAUGUUUUGGGUUUAAAUUAAAUUAUUGUUGCGGUACUAAAUAUUGAGCGGUACUCUACUCCUUUUUCUUUUCUUCUAUAUAUGUGAGUUUUAAGCCACCUCCAUCCGAGAACUCCACUUCUUGGAAGUCUACUGCCUUUUCGCGGCGGUAGACUUUGCCGGACAAAGGGGUAGCAGGUGGUGAAGCGGGUGUAGGGAUAACGCUUACUGGACACUUCUCCAGUUGCGCUGUUAGUUCCUCAAUUCUGAUGUUCUGUUUCACCAUGAGAGAAAUAAUUUUACAUUUUAA
Long non-coding RNA from Aethina tumida (small hive beetle), 1288 nucleotides. RefSeq lists it as uncharacterized. Lineage: Eukaryota; Metazoa; Arthropoda; Insecta; Coleoptera; Nitidulidae. The record is from RefSeq and is a predicted model, not a curated record. The transcript has 3 exons.